CAAAGAAUAGUUUUAAUAAGAAUUCUAGCUUUGGGAGUUAGGGGUAGGGGUUCGACCCCCCUUUCUUUGA
Molecule: transfer RNA, 70 nt
Filed under: Kopua minima
Lineage: Eukaryota; Metazoa; Chordata; Actinopteri; Blenniiformes; Gobiesocidae
Description: Aspasma minima tRNA-Pro
Rfam family: tRNA
About the family: Transfer RNA (tRNA) molecules are approximately 80 nucleotides in length. Their secondary structure includes four short double-helical elements and three loops (D, anti-codon, and T loops). Further hydrogen bonds mediate the characteristic L-shaped molecular structure. tRNAs have two regions of fundamental functional importance: the anti-codon, which is responsible for specific mRNA codon recognition, and the 3' end, to which the tRNAs corresponding amino acid is attached (by aminoacyl-tRNA synthetases). tRNAs cope with the degeneracy of the genetic code in two manners: having more than one tRNA (with a specific anti-codon) for a particular amino acid; and 'wobble' base-pairing, i.e. permitting non-standard base-pairing at the 3rd anti-codon position.
Source: RNAcentral